RNAcentral lists this ribosomal RNA (459 nucleotides) under uncultured bacterium. RNAcentral describes it as "partial 16S ribosomal RNA". It matches the Rfam family "Bacterial small subunit ribosomal RNA", at positions 338 to 795 of the family's 1533-position model. The record is from RNAcentral.
CCUACGGGCGGCAGCAGUGAGGAAUAUUGGUCAAUGGUCGGGAGACUGAACCAGCCAAGCCGCGUGAGGGAGGAAGGUACAGAGUAUCGUAAACCUCUUUUGUCAGGGAACAAAGGCGGGGACGUGUCCCCGGAUGAGUGUACCUGAAGAAAAAGCAUCGGCUAACUCCGUGCCAGCAGCCGCGGUAAUACGGAGGAUGCGAGCGUUAUCCGGAUUGAUUGGGUUUAAGGGGUGCGCAGGCGGUCUGUUAAGUAAGCGGUCAAAGCCCGGGGCUCAACCCCGGCCCGCCGUUGAAACUGGCAGUCUCGAGUUGGAGAGAAGUAUGCGGAAUGCGCGGUGUAGCGGUGAAAUGCAUAGAUAUCGCGCAGAACUCCGAUUGCGAAGGCAGCAUGCCGGCUCCACACUGACGCUGAGGCACGAAAGCGUGGGUAUCGAACAGGAUUAGAUACCCUGGUAGUC